This 278-nucleotide ribosomal RNA is filed under the name Pseudomonas aeruginosa. RNAcentral describes it as "partial 16S ribosomal RNA". It matches the Rfam family "Bacterial small subunit ribosomal RNA", at positions 975 to 1253 of the family's 1533-position model. Lineage: Bacteria; Pseudomonadati; Pseudomonadota; Gammaproteobacteria; Pseudomonadales; Pseudomonadaceae. The record is from RNAcentral.
CUGGCCUUGACAUGCUGAGAACUUUCCAGAGAUGGAUUGGUGCCUUCGGGAACUCAGACACAGGUGCUGCAUUGCUGUCGUCAGCUCGUGUCGUGAGAUGUUGGGUUAAGUCCCGUAACGAGCGCAACCCUUGUCCUUAGUUACCAGCACCUCGGGUGGGCACUCUAAGGAGACUGCCGGUGACAAACCGGAGGAAGGUGGGGAUGACGUCAAGUCAUCAUGGCCCUUACGGCCAGGGCUACACACGUGCUACAAUGGUCGGUACAAAGGGUUGCCAA